This 428-nucleotide ribosomal RNA is filed under the name uncultured bacterium. Its description in RNAcentral is "bacterial SSU rRNA". It matches the Rfam family "Bacterial small subunit ribosomal RNA", at positions 355 to 776 of the family's 1533-position model. The record is from RNAcentral.
UCGAGAAUUUUUCUCAAUGGGCGAAAGCCUGAAGGAGCGACGCCGCGUGGGGGAUGAAGGGCUUCGGCUCGUAAACCCCUGUCAUUUGCGAACAAACCUUACGGUCUAAUACAUCGUAAGCUGAUAGUAGCGAAAGAGGAAGGGACGGCUAACUCUGUGCCAGCAGCCGCGGUAAUACAGAGGUCCCAAGCGUUGUUCGGAUUCACUGGGCGUAAAGGGUGCGUAGGUGGUGGGGUAAGUUUGAUGUGAAAUCUCCGGGCUUAACCCGGAAACUGCAUUGAAUACUAUCUCACUCGAGGAUUGGAGGGGGGACUGGAAUUCUCGGUGUAGCAGUGAAAUGCGUAGAUAUCGAGAGGAACACCAGUGGCGAAGGCGAGUCCCUGGACAACACCUGACACUGAGGCACGAAAGCUAGGGGAGCAAACAGG